This 801-nucleotide long non-coding RNA is filed under the name Homo sapiens (human). Its description in RNAcentral is "HSALNT0253050". Lineage: Eukaryota; Metazoa; Chordata; Mammalia; Primates; Hominidae. The record is from RNAcentral.
AAAGAACCCUGUCCCUCCAUAGAGAUGGCAGGCACUAAUGUCAGAUAUCACAGUAUCCUCCAUAGCAAGGACAGACAGGAGAGAAACCAAUGGGUGGAACUGCAGCACGCAAGGAUGAAAGAAACCAGGAGGUGCUGGUAUUCCUGUCCCCACUGCAUAGAUGCUGUAACUGAGGCUCAGAUGCAAGGAUCUGCUUGGCCAUCAGCAGAGAGCACUCAUUCUGCUCUGCGAAUGCACGGCUAGGGUCAAAGCCAGCAGGUCCCUGCAGUGCUGCUUGAGACUCUGUGGUUAGGUCUGAUUCUGUGGGGAAUACAGCGAAGACCUCCUGGCAACAGACCUGAAGCUGCAUUCUGUAACAGCUACAGCAAUAACAAGUUUGAUUUUUUUGUUCCAUGCAAAGUAUAUUCCUUUAAGCAUAUAAAUGCAAAUAUUUGAAAAUUUCAUAGUUAAAGCAUUUGACAUUUCCACUUGUGUGUAAAAAUACUCUUGAAUUCUCUUAAAUUCUUAAAAAUGGUUAAAAAGUUACUAGUUUUCCUGACUUCCAUCAAACUGUCAUCAAAACAUAACAGAGACUUGGAUUUCUGCUUACUUGUCAUUGGCUAGAUGAUAAAAGCGCCUGCUCACACAUCCAGUACACAGAAGGCUCACAGCAUCCAAGUAGGAAAAUAUCUUCAGCAAGAUUUCUGAAGGCAUUCUGCAAAAACAGAAAAAGAAAAAAAAAAUCACCAGAGUGGACCAGGGCUUAAUCUGCAGAUUACCCAGAAAACAACUGGCUGCUCAUCUCUAAAUAGAAGGCCGUAG